GCUGCUGUGGCCGAGAGGUCUAAGGCGUCUGACUUGAAUCCUUGUUCGAGAUCAUAUGUGCAUCGCACGCGUAGGUUCAAAUCCUGCCGGCAGCG
Dacryopinax sp. is the source of this 95-nucleotide transfer RNA. It matches the Rfam family "tRNA". Rfam says of the family: Transfer RNA (tRNA) molecules are approximately 80 nucleotides in length. Their secondary structure includes four short double-helical elements and three loops (D, anti-codon, and T loops). NCBI's taxonomy places the organism in Eukaryota, Fungi, Basidiomycota, Dacrymycetes, Dacrymycetales, Dacrymycetaceae. The record is from Rfam.